Molecule: RNA transcript, 1742 nt
Organism: Jatropha curcas
Lineage: Eukaryota; Viridiplantae; Streptophyta; Magnoliopsida; Malpighiales; Euphorbiaceae
Gene: GCR1
Gene name: G-protein-coupled receptor 1
Source: RefSeq, a predicted model, not a curated record
UGAAAAAAAAAAAAAACAAAAAAAAACAAAAAAAGGAAAAAGAAAAUAAAAAUAGGAUAUUGACGAUAUUAAAAUUGAGAUCGAUUUGCCCCUAGCGGUCGAACCCAACGCGGAAAGUAGGAGGCAAGUCCCUUCACCAUUCAACCGAAGCAACGGAGGUAGAAAGCUGUGUACCGAAAAGCCCAACUUUCCAGUUAAGUUCUCCGUCUUCGCGCGAAUCAUUACUGUUGCUCAUGCUCUGAUACGGUCACCACUUAGUAAUAAUCACAAAACCGACAGAAAAAUAAUGACGACGUUGCAGGUCGCCGGGAACCUAACGCCUCACUAUCGGCAGAUUCUGAUGUCGGUUAAUGCAGUGGCAUCUAGUCUUUCAUUUGUAGGGUCUAGCUUCAUAGUGCUGUGUUAUAUCCUCUUCAAAGAGCUCCGCAAAUUCUCCUUCAAACUUGUCUUCUAUCUCGCCCUCUCUGAUAUGCUUUGCAGUUUCUUCAGCAUAGUUGGGGACCCAUCCAAAGGAUUCUUUUGCAUUGCUCAGGGAUACAGCACGCAUUUCUUCUGUGUAGCAUCAUUUUUGUGGACCACAACUAUUGCUUUUACUCUUCAUCGUACUGUUGUUAAACACAAAACAGAUGUUGAAGACCUGGAGGCCAUGUUUCACUUGUAUGUUUGGGGAACUUCUUUGGUUAUGACUGUGAUACGCUCCAUUGGUAAUAACCAUGGACAUUUAGGUGCAUGGUGUUGGACAGAAACAGGGAGAACAAGAAAGGCAAUUCACUUUAUAACAUUUUAUGCACCACUUUGGGCUGCAAUUCUUUACAAUGGGCUUAUGUAUUUUCAGGUCAUACGCAUGCUAAAUAAUGCAACCCGUAUGGCAGUAGGCAUGUCAGACCGAGCAUAUCAAUUUGAUGCAAGGCCAGACUUGAAGGCUUUGAACCGGUGGGGAUACUAUCCACUUAUCCUGAUAGGCUCAUGGGCUUUUGGUACAAUAAAUCGCAUUCAUGACUUCAUCGCACCGGGCCACAAAAUGCUUUGGCUCUCAGUUCUUGAUGUUGGAACAGCUGCACUUAUGGGUCUUUUUAACUCAAUAGCAUAUGGACUGAACUCUUCGGUGCGUAGGGCAUUAUAUGAAAGAUUGGAUCUGUAAGUUAGAGAACCUGAUAUACUUGUUGCAUCUCAAUAACAUUACAUGAAAGAUUGGAUCUGUUCUGGCCAGAUAGGCUUAGAAGAUGGUUUGCUAAUGGUUUGAGAUUCAGAAAUCAAGUGCAUGAGAGUGAACUAGUCUCAUUGAGAAUUCAAGAUCAGCAUUAGUAGCUUGGACACUGUUCAAACUUGUGUUCUCUGCAACAUUGUUUCAUUAAACGUGGCAAUUAAAUGAAAAACAAAGAGGAUUAUAACUUCUAGCAUGUGUAAAGUCCAUUGGAUUCCUGUUAGUUUUUACAGAGCGAAGUCUGUCAAAUUGUUUGCAUCACCGGAUAUUAGAAUGCUUCCCCUCACUUGAGUUGCCCGUUUUCAAGAAGGUGGAGAACCUCAGGAUCGAUGGCAGUAACUGUGAAAUUAUGUUUUUAUACUGUUAAAAAAAGUCUAAAUUGCUCUUAUGGUUUCGAGAGCUGUUAAGAAGGAAUAUCAUUUUUUUUUAUUUGUCUCUCUUCAAUUGUUGUCAAUUGCAUUUGGAUCUGGAUUUGGGUUCAUGUCCCAAUUUUGUUAUUACUUCGGUGUAUGAUAUUGUGUUCUGUUUCUACGGAAAA